UUAGUUGGAUUAUUGCCACUUGGCAACGUUUUGGUUUAAGUCAAAUUCUCUUUCUUAUAUUUCCCGUACUCUUUCUCCAUUGUCUUGUCUGCUAUUUAAUGGAAGUCUAAAACCACGCGAGUGACACUUCUCAUUUUGUUAUCUCGGAACAUAAUUCUACUCUGUGUGUGUUCUAAACUUCUGUCAAUCAGUUUUAUAUUGAUUUGACUGUCUGUCAGUCUAUGCAUAAUCUGUCCAGUGAGUGUUUUGGCUACCCAACUCAUCUGGUCUUGCUCUUUUGCACAUUUAUCUGUGGUUUAUGGUCUGGGUGGCAUCUCAGCAUUCUACUCGUGCCAUCCCAGAUACCACUGGUCAAUCCCCUUUGUAAUUCAUACUCAUUUCGUGUAAGAAUUGUCAUCAUAAUAUACCACGUAAAGUAACAAGGCUCCUUACAAGCAUAGCGUCGAAACAUCGGCAGUUUAAAAAUGCAAUUAAUUAAUUAUCUGUUAAUUUCUAUUAAGAAAACAUUUUUGUGUCAAAA
Daphnia pulex (common water flea) is the source of this 520-nucleotide long non-coding RNA. RefSeq lists it as uncharacterized. The record is from RefSeq and is a predicted model, not a curated record. Lineage: Eukaryota; Metazoa; Arthropoda; Branchiopoda; Diplostraca; Daphniidae. The transcript is spliced from 4 exons.